CGGGGUGUAGCGCAGCUUGGUAGNNUUGGUAGCGCAUCCGCUUUGGGAGCGGAAGGCCGCAGGUUCAAAUCCUGUCACCCCGA
This 83-nucleotide transfer RNA is filed under the name Mycobacterium sp. RNAcentral describes it as "tRNA-Pro". It matches the Rfam family "tRNA". From Rfam's summary of the family: Transfer RNA (tRNA) molecules are approximately 80 nucleotides in length. Their secondary structure includes four short double-helical elements and three loops (D, anti-codon, and T loops). Further hydrogen bonds mediate the characteristic L-shaped molecular structure. tRNAs have two regions of fundamental functional importance: the anti-codon, which is responsible for specific mRNA codon recognition, and the 3' end, to which the tRNAs corresponding amino acid is attached (by aminoacyl-tRNA synthetases). tRNAs cope with the degeneracy of the genetic code in two manners: having more than one tRNA (with a specific anti-codon) for a particular amino acid; and 'wobble' base-pairing, i.e. permitting non-standard base-pairing at the 3rd anti-codon position. Lineage: Bacteria; Bacillati; Actinomycetota; Actinomycetes; Mycobacteriales; Mycobacteriaceae. The record is from RNAcentral.